UACGAGGGGUGCAAGCGUUGCUCGGAAUUAUUGGGCGUAAAGGGUAGGUAGGUGGUCUUAUUUGUCCGGGGUGAAAGCCUUGAGCUUAACUCAAGAAGUGCCUCGGAAACGGUGAGACUAGAGUCUUGGAGAGGGUCGUGGAGUUCCCGGUGUAGCGGUGAAAUGCGUAGAGAUCGGGAGGAACACCAGAGGCGAAGGCGGCGACCUGGACAAGUACUGACACUCAACUACGAAAGCGUGGGGAGCAAACAGG
This 253-nucleotide ribosomal RNA is filed under the name uncultured bacterium. RNAcentral's name for it is "partial 16S ribosomal RNA". It matches the Rfam family "Bacterial small subunit ribosomal RNA", at positions 524 to 776 of the family's 1533-position model. The record is from RNAcentral.